UAUAAUGGUAAAUCAUGCAAAUUCAGUCUGUAUAUAUUUAAAUAAAGGAAUGAGCAUUGUUGAGCUUGCUUAACUCAGGAUUAUUAAUAUGGCUGAAGAUCCUGGACAAUAUAUUCGUUAAGAUGGCAUUCGUAAAAUGUGUUCCUCAAUUCCUGAGUAUCUUGAGUUGUUAAUAUUGUUAUGCCUCCAAAGGAUUCAAGGUCAAAGAAGUUUGGGAAACAUUGUCUGAAGUAAAGUAACAACCACAGGUAUGAGUGAGCAUAGAGUUUAGGCAAGAGAACUGACUACUACAGUCUCGAUCCCAUUUAUUCUACGUGGAUACUUUCAAGGAGGAAAUGAAUCUGGAAAACAUGUUUGUGGACAGGUAAUGUUUUCCUUAUUUGAAAGCAAAUUUAAAUGCCUUUACUUUUUCCUUAGUUUUAAAAAAAAUUUUCUGCUUAAGUGUUCUUGACAUUUUACUCUACCCUUUAAACUAAUAACUAACUUAGUAAUUUUUACUAUUAGUAACAAGGGUAUUUUUCUGAGUGAUGGGAUUAUGGGUGAUUGUAAUCUUCCUUGGGCUUUUUGGUAUUUUCAAAAUUGUCUAUGAUGUACAUAUAAUACUUAGAAAAGCAGCAAAAUUCAAAUAAAGCACUGUGUACAAUUACCGUGUACAGUAACUUGUGGAAAGGGUGUAGUAACAGUCGUUGACUCUAACUAGAACUGAACCAAUCUUUACCCAGAAAGAAAGUAGGAGGAAGAUUUGGCCUGUCCAUUAAAUAUAUAUGUUUGCAUUAUAACAAUGAGAAAUUUGGCAGGAAAAAAAUUUCUUGACAAAAAGCAAGGUUUCCAAUUUCCAUCCUAAAUUACUCAUAUAUGAUAUUUGGGGGUGGGUUGGGGAAAUAAUUGAGCAGGAUUUCUUUAAAUUAAAGCCUUUUUUAUCUAAGGGAAAUUCUCACUAAUGUCUGUUUCUUCUUCUCAGAGCCUUUCCACAAAUCCAACAAGAAUAUUCUCUUUACUGGGAUAGAACUGUAGGCUAAUAUCUGCAUGAACUGGCUCUUCUUGAGUCAGUCACAUUACUCAGGGGGUUCCAUUCACGCUCAAAUAACAUUUUGUAAGUCAUGUGGAAAGAAACUGCAGACUGAACAAACAUGCUGAGCAGUUUUCCUAGUGAAGAUCAACAUGGGAAAGUUAGCAGGUCUUUGUUUUUCCCAUCCUUAUCCAUUAUCAGUAAAUAAACAUGAGUUCUUGAUAUUCUUUUUCCUGUGGAGCCCCUCAUUUGGACCAUGCUGUAGUCUAAUUUUAAGUCACAAAAUUUAGUGCAUGCUUAGAGGAUUAGAGCAUGGAGCAUACUCGCACCAGAAAUGAAGGGCCAGUUAGUAGUAGCUCCAGGGGUUCUUGCUGUCCCCUUGCUCAAUUUCUCUAUAGUUCUUUCCUUUUGCUAUACAAUUGCAAUGUAAACAACCUUAGGAAAAUUGUAAUGUUUAGACUUAACGUAAGAAGCAAUAAAGAUGGACCACUAGAGAAUUGUAGUAAUCUAUUUUAAAAUUAAUAUUAUUUCUCUUUUUCAUAUACCUUUUAAAAUAAAAGUAGAUUAUGUCUUAAAA
This is a long non-coding RNA of Cebus imitator (Panamanian white-faced capuchin), 1586 nucleotides long. RefSeq lists it as uncharacterized. The transcript has 2 exons. The record is from RefSeq and is a predicted model, not a curated record. NCBI's taxonomy places the organism in Eukaryota, Metazoa, Chordata, Mammalia, Primates, Cebidae.